GAUUUCAACUGAAAAAGUUAUCAACAACAAAGUUGAAUAACUCAUCAAGAUCUAAAACUUUUAUUUUGAUCAUUUCUUCAUCCGACAAAGUGAUAGUAACAUUAUUCAUAAAACUGACGUAUCUCUUAUCUAGUUUUAUAAACUAUAACACAUAUAUGUAAAAUUUGUGAACAAUAUUACUAACACUUUGUCGGAUGAAGAAAUGACAAAAAUAAAAGUUUUAGAUCUUGUUGAGUUAUACAAUUUUGUUGUUGAUGACUUUUUCAGUUGAAAUC
Non-coding RNA from Oryza punctata, 275 nucleotides. Lineage: Eukaryota; Viridiplantae; Streptophyta; Magnoliopsida; Poales; Poaceae. The record is from Rfam.